GCAGCCGCCACGGUAAUACGAAGGGUGCAAGCGUUACUUGGAAUUACUGGGCGUAAAGCGUGCGUAGGUGGUGGUUUAAGUCCGUUGUGAAAGCCCUGGGCUCAACCUGGGAAUUGCAGUGGAUACUGGGUCACUAGAGUGUGGUAGAGGAUAGUGGAAUUUCCGGUGUAGCAGUGAAAUGCGUAGAGAUCGGAAGGAACAUCUGUGGCGAAGGCGACUAUCUGGGCCAACACUGACACUGAGGCACGAAAGCGUGGGGAGCAAACAGGAUUAGAUACCCCUGUAGUCCCUGUCUCUUAUAC
Molecule: ribosomal RNA, 302 nt
Filed under: uncultured bacterium
Lineage: Bacteria
Description: partial 16S ribosomal RNA
Rfam family: Bacterial small subunit ribosomal RNA
Source: RNAcentral